UAGGGAAUCUUCCGCAAUGGGCGAAAGCUUGACGGAGCAACGCCGCGUGAGUGAUGAAGGUCUUCGGAUCGUAAAACUCUGUUAUUAGGGAAGAACAAAUGCGUAAGUAACUAUGCACGUCUUGACGGUACCUAAUCAGAAAGCCACGGCUAACUACGUGCCAGCAGCUGCGGUAAUACGUAGGUGGCAAGCGUUAUCCGGAAUUAUUGGGCGUAAAGCGCGCGUAGGCGGUUUUUUAAGUCUGAUGUGAAAGCCCACGGCUCAACCGUGGAGGGUCAUUGGAAACUGGAAAACUUGAGUGCAGAAGAGGAAGGUGGAAUUCCAUGUGUAGCGGUGAAAUGCGCAGAGAUAUGGAGGAACACCAGUGGCGAAGGCGACUUUCUGGUCUGUAACUGACGCUGAUGUGCGAAAGCGUGGGGAUCAAACAGG
This 429-nucleotide ribosomal RNA is filed under the name Actinomycetes bacterium. RNAcentral's name for it is "Actinobacteria bacterium partial 16S ribosomal RNA". It matches the Rfam family "Bacterial small subunit ribosomal RNA", at positions 355 to 776 of the family's 1533-position model. Lineage: Bacteria; Bacillati; Actinomycetota; Actinomycetes. The record is from RNAcentral.